AUUUUCUUCACGCUUUAUUGACAUUUGUAUAAAUACAGCAGCAUGUUCCUGUAGAUGCAUUGUGACAUAUCGCUUGUUAAAAAAUAAAUCAUGAAGUACUUCGCUGUUCUGGUUUUAGCCAUCAUCUCCGUAACAUAUGUUAUGGCUGGUACCUACGUUCCAUGCAUAAAUAACGACGAUUGUAACCGCAUGUGUAAUCAAAUAUGCAACCCGUCUUCUGUGGAAGGAGUGUGUGCAUACAACGCAUGCUUCUGCAUGCUUGUUAGGAAUCUCCAAGGACGACAUCACGGAUAAAAUUUAAAAGCAUUAUGAUGAUAAAAUGCAUUUUGUGAGAUGUCACAAUAAAUGUAAAUGAUGAAAA
Nymphalis io (European peacock) is the source of this 361-nucleotide long non-coding RNA. RefSeq lists it as uncharacterized. The transcript is spliced from 2 exons. The record is from RefSeq and is a predicted model, not a curated record. NCBI's taxonomy places the organism in Eukaryota, Metazoa, Arthropoda, Insecta, Lepidoptera, Nymphalidae.